CGUAGGUGGCGAGCGUUGUCCGGAAUUAUUGGGCGUAAAGGGAGCGCAGGCGGGAGGUCAAGUCUAUCUUAAAAGUGCGGGGCUCAACCCCGUGAGGGGAUGGAAACUGGUCUUCUUGAGUGCAGGAGAGGAAAGCGGAAUUCCUAGUGUAGCGGUGAAAUGCGUAGAUAUUAGGAGGAACACCAGUGGCGAAGGCGGCUUUCUGGACUGUAACUGACGCUGAGGCUCGAAAGCGUGGGGAGCGAACAGGAUAGAUACCC
This 260-nucleotide ribosomal RNA is filed under the name uncultured bacterium. Its description in RNAcentral is "partial 16S ribosomal RNA". It matches the Rfam family "Bacterial small subunit ribosomal RNA", at positions 526 to 787 of the family's 1533-position model. The record is from RNAcentral.